AAGAUGGCGACCGGCGCACGGGUGAGUAACACGUAUCCAACCUGCCGAUAACUCUGGAAUAGCCUUUCGAAAGAAAGAUUAAUACCGGAUAGUAUACGAAUAUCGCAUGAUUAUUUUUAUUAAAGUAAUUUCGGUUAUCGAUGGGGGAUGCGUUCCAUUAGUUUGUUGGCGGGGUAACGGCCCACCAAGACUACGAUGGAUAGGGGUUCUGAGAGGAAGGUCCCCCACAUUGGAACUGAGACACGGUCCAAACUCCUACGGGAGGCAGCAUG
RNAcentral lists this ribosomal RNA (272 nucleotides) under uncultured bacterium. RNAcentral's name for it is "partial 16S ribosomal RNA". It matches the Rfam family "Bacterial small subunit ribosomal RNA", at positions 85 to 353 of the family's 1533-position model. The record is from RNAcentral.